Molecule: ribosomal RNA, 320 nt
Filed under: uncultured eukaryote
Lineage: Eukaryota
Description: partial 18S ribosomal RNA
Rfam family: Eukaryotic small subunit ribosomal RNA
Source: RNAcentral
CCCUUAGAUGUUCUGGGCUGCACGCGUGCUACAAUGGCGCUUGCAACAAGUCUUGCCAACCCGAUAGGGUGAGCGGAUCUUUGAAGAGGCGUCGUGAUCGGGACAGUUGAUUGCAAUUAUUCGACUCGAACGAGGAAUUCCUUGUAAUCGCGAUUCAUCAUAUCGCGCUGAAUACGUCCCUGCCCUUUGUACACACCGCCCGUCGCUCCUACCGAUUGAGCGAUCCGGUGAAUGUUUUGGACUGGCGUCAGAAGCGGUUCGCUCCUGACGCUACGAAAUUUUGUAAACCUUAUCGCUUAGAGGAAGGAAAAGUCGUAACA